UACGAAGGGUGCAAGCGUUACUCGGAAUUACUGGGCGUAAAGCGUGCGUAGGUGGUGAGUUAAGUCUGUCGUGAAAGCCCCGGGCUCAACCUGGGAAUGGCGAUGGAUACUGGCUCGCUAGAGUGCGGUAGAGGAGAGUGGAAUUCCCGGUGUAGCAGUGAAAUGCGUAGAGAUCGGGAGGAACAUCAGUUGCGAAGGCGGCUCUCUGGACCAGCACUGACACUGAGGCACGCAAGCGUGGGGAGCAAACAGG
This 253-nucleotide ribosomal RNA is filed under the name uncultured bacterium. RNAcentral describes it as "partial 16S ribosomal RNA". It matches the Rfam family "Bacterial small subunit ribosomal RNA", at positions 524 to 776 of the family's 1533-position model. The record is from RNAcentral.